GCUUACGGCCAUACCAACUGGCUAUGCCGAUUCAUCUGAUCUCGGAAGCUAAGCAGGUUUGGGCCUGGUUAGUACUUGGAUGGGAAACCGCCAUGGGAAUACCAGGUGCUGUAAGCU
This 117-nucleotide ribosomal RNA is filed under the name Carassius auratus (goldfish). Lineage: Eukaryota; Metazoa; Chordata; Actinopteri; Cypriniformes; Cyprinidae. The record is from RNAcentral.